AUGCAGAAACAAGCCAUCCAGCUGGAGGACUCUGCUGUCUACUUCUGUGCCUUCAGAAGAAGCACAGGACAAUCAGUUGAUCAAACAUCUGGCAUUGUGACCAUUACUGAAGGACAAUCUCUUUCUCUCAGUUGUUCCUAUGAAGCACAGAAUAGUGUCAUGCAUUACCCAUUCUGGUACAUUCAGCAUCCUGGUCAGCCUCUGAAGAUCUUGUUGACCAAGUUUUACAAAAAUGUCCAAGGAUUCCAGGCUGCUCACUAUGAAAAUGAUACAAAAGGAACUUUCAACAUGCAGAAACAAGGCAUCCAGUUGGAGGACUCUGCUGUCUAUUUCUGUGCCUUCACAGAGACACAUAGAUUAUUUGCAAGAAAUUUAAAGAAUCCAAACAAAAGUAUUCAGUUGAAAUGA
Non-coding RNA from Protobothrops mucrosquamatus (brown spotted pit viper), 408 nucleotides. The record is from the annotation of a RefSeq genome assembly. Lineage: Eukaryota; Metazoa; Chordata; Lepidosauria; Squamata; Viperidae.